UCUAUCAUUACCGGGAUACCAUUUCGGGAUGUUCUACACAUUUAGUAUUUCUAGUUUAAAAUUAGUCUUUAGUUUAAAGUAACGAAAUCACGCUCCGCCAUUAUCUGUCUUAAAAAUUAGUGUUUCAAAUUUUUAUUAUGAUCAUUCAAAGUUUUAGUGUUAAUUGUGGGUGUUUACAUUAAUAAGUUCAGUGAAAACUUAUUUGUUCUCUAUAGACAGAUGUGUUAAUUUAUGUAAAGUCAAUGUAAAGGUUCAGAAAUUUUGUGAAGUAUCGAUUUACUUUUGUUUUAAUUAGUUUGCAGUAACCAAAGCAGACCACGUUCACGAGUAUGAUGAGUCAGCCAUCAUUGUGCUCAGCCAUAUUUUGGGGAACUCAAUAACCCGACCCACCACACCGCCACUUACUCAAGGGAACAAGGAUUGGUAUCAGGAAUCCCCCGUUUUUCUUAAGAAGACUUUUAACGAGAUUAGAGGUAGAGAAUACCCCACCUUCUCUAUUAUGAAGAAGUUCGAGGACAGGAGUCCUCAUUAUUAUUGAGCCCAAAGAAGAUAUCUACAACAGCCGGAAGGAGACUUUUAUAUCAUCUCGGAGUAUUACAAACAGUUCCUGCGGGUCUUCUUACACCAGACUAGGAAAAGGUAAU
Long non-coding RNA from Galleria mellonella (greater wax moth), 644 nucleotides. RefSeq lists it as uncharacterized. The transcript has 3 exons. The record is from RefSeq and is a predicted model, not a curated record. Lineage: Eukaryota; Metazoa; Arthropoda; Insecta; Lepidoptera; Pyralidae.